GACGAACGCUGGCGGCGUGCUUAACACAUGCAAGUCGAACGGAAAGGCCCUGCUUUUGUCGGGUGCUCGAGUGGCGAACGGGUGAGUAACACGUGAGUAACCUGCCCUUGACUUUGGGAUAACUUCAGGAAACUGGGGCUAAUACCGGAUAGGAGCUCCUGCUGCAUGGUGGGGGUUGGAAAGUUUCGGCGGUUGGGGAUGGACUCGCGGCUUAUCAGCUUGUUGGUGGGGUAGUGGCUUACCAAGGCUUUGACGGGUAGCCGGCCUGAGAGGGUGACCGGCCACAUUGGGACUGAGAUACGGCCCAGACUCCUACGGGAGGCAGCAGUGGGGAAUAUUGCACAAUGGGCGGAAGCCUGAUGCAGCAACGCCGCGUGCGGGAUGACGGCCUUCGGGCUGUAAACCGCUUUCGCCUGUGACGAAGCGUGAGUGACGGUAAUGGGUAAAGAAGCACCGGCUAACUACGUG
This 468-nucleotide ribosomal RNA is filed under the name uncultured bacterium. RNAcentral describes it as "partial 16S ribosomal RNA". It matches the Rfam family "Bacterial small subunit ribosomal RNA", at positions 28 to 507 of the family's 1533-position model. The record is from RNAcentral.